RNAcentral lists this ribosomal RNA (254 nucleotides) under uncultured bacterium. RNAcentral's name for it is "partial 16S ribosomal RNA". It matches the Rfam family "Bacterial small subunit ribosomal RNA", at positions 524 to 776 of the family's 1533-position model. The record is from RNAcentral.
UACGUAGGGUGCAAGCGUUGUCCGGAAUUAUUGGGCGUAAAGAGCUCGUAGGCGGUCUGUCGCGUCGAAUGUGAAAACCCGGGGCUCAACCCCGGGCCUGCAUUCGAUACGGGCAGACUAGAGUUCGGUAGGGGGAGUCUGGAAUUCCUGGUGUAGCGGUGAAAUGCGCAGAUAUCAGGAGGAACACCGGUGGCGAAGGCGGGACUCUGGGCCGAUACUGACGCUGAGGAGCGAAAGCGUGGGGAGCGAACAGG